AUUGAACGCUGGCGGCAGGCCUAACACAUGCAAGUCGAGCGGAGCGGCGGACGGGUGAGUAAUGCCUAGGAAUCUGCCUGGUAGUGGGGGAUAACGUACGGAAACGGGCGCUAAUACCGCAUACUAUCAGAUGAGCCUAGGUUGGAUUAGCUAGUUGGUGGGGUAAAGGCCUACCAAGGCGACGAUCCGUAACUGGUCUGAGAGGAUGAUCAGUCACACUGGAACUGAGACACGGUCCAGGCUGCUACGGGAGGCAUCAGUGGGGAAUAUUGGACUAAGGGCGAAAGCCUGAUCCAGCCAUCCCGCGUGUGUGAAGAAGGUCUUCGGAUUGUAAAGCACUUUAAGCUGGGAGGCGUUACCUACAGAAUAAGCACCGGCUAACUUCGUGCCAGCAGCCGCGGUAAUUC
This 407-nucleotide ribosomal RNA is filed under the name uncultured bacterium. Its description in RNAcentral is "partial 16S ribosomal RNA". It matches the Rfam family "Bacterial small subunit ribosomal RNA", at positions 30 to 526 of the family's 1533-position model. The record is from RNAcentral.